UGGUGUGGAAAAUUUCCUACACAUUUGAUGUAAAAAAUAUCAGGGGAGAAGAAUAGCCCUACUACCAUACAUUCUCCCUUCUGGUACCCACUCUGAACCACACAAAGGACUUUUUUGUUGUGUGUGAUGGAUUCAUCUGCUGUGCUUUCCAUGGCCUUUGUCUCUCACUUCUUCCUCCACAGUUUUGGAUCUCUCCUGGAUGUCAGGCACUGAAGCCCAGCCUUAAGAGAUAGUGACAUGAUUACCAUUCAGCCCUGCUCUCAAGUUGCUCACAGGACAGAGGAGGAGUUGGCAAAGCCCUCAGAGCCUCCCAUGAAUUGGCUGUCACCUGAAAUUACUGUGGGCUUGGAUUUCCUGUGAGCAUACAAGACACCUUGCUCAGAUCCUGAUUCCUGUAAAGCAAAUACUUCUGUCCUCAUGGUUCCCACAGACCUUGCACACAUCCCUGGGUUGGUGGAAGAUUUCUUUCCAUGAACCCAACUCUUAUAGAAAUUAAGAGAACUGUUUAAUUUUUUUCUUUCCAAAAGAAAGCAAGUACCGGGAAGUCUUCUUCCAUAGUAACAAUGCUUGUCAUUUACCCACUGUCACAUGAUUUAGAAAGCACUUUUCUGGACAUUUUUGUUCUGAGCCUUAAAAUAACCAUGACCUACAUAAUUUGAUCAUAAUGAAAAAUGGUUGAACUAUGUAAAAAAUCCAAUUCUGAUAUACCAAUGAAAUAAACUUUUGAGAUUGGUGAAACCCAUACCUGUUUUGUCUUUAUUUUACAGAUGAGGAAAGUGAGACUUCACCAGAAAGGCAUCCAAUCAAUGGCAACAUCAAGAUCUGAAAGCCUGAAGUCUGAGAUCAGAGUGCCAGCAUGAUCAGCCUCUGCUGAGGGCUGUCUUCAGGGGUGCAGACUGCAGACUUCUCAUUGUAUCCUCAUGUGGUGGAAAGAGCAAGAUAACUCUCUGGGUCUUUUUUAGAAGAAUACUAAUUUCAUUCAUGA
Long non-coding RNA from Sapajus apella (tufted capuchin), 985 nucleotides. RefSeq lists it as uncharacterized. Lineage: Eukaryota; Metazoa; Chordata; Mammalia; Primates; Cebidae. The transcript has 3 exons. The record is from RefSeq and is a predicted model, not a curated record.